CGACGAGUCGUCUUUUAGAUGACGAAGUGGUUGAUGCCAUGCUUCCAAGAAAAGCUUCUAAGCUUCAGGUAACCAGGAACCGUACCCCAAACCGACACAGGUGGUCGGGUAGAGAAUACCAAGGCGCUUGAGAGAACUCGGGUGAAGGAACUAGGCAAAAUGGCACCGUAACUUCGGGAGAAGGUGCGCCGGCUAGGGUGAAGGAUUUACUCCGUAAGCUCUGGCUGGUCGAAGAUACCAGGCCGCUGCGACUGUUUAUUAAAAACACAGCACUCUGCAAACACGAAAGUGGACGUAUAGGGUGUGACGCCUCCCCGGUGCCGGAAGGUUAAUUGAUGGGGUUAGCGCAAGCGAAGCUCUUGAUCGAAGCCCCGGUAAACGGCGGCCGUAACGAUAACGGUCCUAAGGUAGCGAAAUUCCUUGUCGGGUAAGUUCCGACCUGCACGAAUGGCGUAACGAUGGCGGCGCUGUCUCCACCCGAGACUCAGUGAAAUUGAAAUCGCUGUGAAGAUGCAGUGUAUCCGCGGCUAGACGGAAAGACCCCGUGAACCUUUACUGUAGCUUUGCACUGGACUUUGAGCCUGCUUGUGUAGGAUAGGUGGGAGGCUUUGAAGCGUGGACGCCAGUUCGCGUGGAGCCAUCCUUGAAAUACCACCCUGGCAUGCUUGAGGUUCUAACUCUGGUCCGUAAUCCGGAUCGAGGACAGUGUAUGGUGGGCAGUUUGACUGGGGCGGUCUCCUCCUAAAGAGUAACGGAGGAGUACGAAGGUGCGCUCAGACCGGUCGGAAAUCGGUCGCAGAGUAUAAAGGCAAAAGCGCGCUUGACUGCGAGACAGACACGUCGAGCAGGUACGAAAGUAGGUCUUAGUGAUCCGGUGGUUCUGUAUGGAAGGGCCAUCGCUCAACGGAUAAAAGGUACUCCGGGGAUAACAGGCUGAUACCGCCCAAGAGUUCAUAUCGACGGCGGUGUUUGGCACCUCGAUGUCGGCUCAUCACAUCCUGGGGCUGAAGCCGGUCCCAAGGGUAUGGCUGUUCGCCAUUUAAAGUGGUACGCGAGCUGGGUUUAGAACGUCGUGAGACAGUUCGGUCCCUAUCUGCCGUGGACGUUUGAGAUUUGAGAGGGGCUGCUCCUAGUACGAGAGGACCGGAGUGGACGAACCUCUGGUGUUCCGGUUGUCACGCCAGUGGCAUUGCCGGGUAGCUAUGUUCGGAAAAGAUAACCGCUGAAAGCAUCUAAGCGGGAAACUUGCCUCAAGAUGAGAUCUCACUGGGAGCUUGAUUCCCCUGAAGGGCCGUCGAAGACUACGACGUUGAUAGGCUGGGUGUGUAAGCGUUGUGAGGCGUUGAGCUAACCAGUACUAAUUGCCCGU
Molecule: ribosomal RNA, 1369 nt
Filed under: metagenome
Description: bacterial LSU rRNA
Rfam family: Bacterial large subunit ribosomal RNA
Source: RNAcentral